RNAcentral lists this long non-coding RNA (1287 nucleotides) under Lathyrus oleraceus (garden pea). Its description in RNAcentral is "Pisum sativum (pea) long non-coding RNA (PSAT_LNC031412)". Lineage: Eukaryota; Viridiplantae; Streptophyta; Magnoliopsida; Fabales; Fabaceae. The record is from RNAcentral.
AGCUUAAAAGAUAAUUACAUAAUUAAAAUUUAAUUCAAAAAAAUUCCUAAUAAUCCAAAACAAUUGCAUAACUGGCCAAAAAGAGAAAUUCCAAAUUAAAGUUUGUACAUGUUACAACCAAUCCCUAAGUUCAUAAUCCAAAAGGUCUGUGUUACAUCAGAAAUAAUUUUAUUAAAAAAUUGGAAUAAGACACAGCAGUUUGAGGCAAAUUUCACAGACUCUUCCAAAAGCUCUUUUGGAAGUUCCUUGGAAGUUCCCAAUUCAAAAGCAACUCUUCAGAACUUUCCCAAAAAACCUGUUGAAUAAUAGUGCCUCUUUUUCAAUCAAUCAGCAUCAACAUCACUUCACCUGCAAAAACCAAUUCAAAAUCAAAAAACAGCUUAUUCAAAAAGCACUUUUCAAAAGCGCUUAAAAAACUGAAAAAUAACUAAACAAAUUACUCAGUUUGAAGCUUUGUCCAUAAGGUUAACAUAAACAUCCAAAAAGCACUUUUGGCAUUAGCUUAAAACAGAAUAAACCAAAUCCCACAUAAUCUAGGAUGGAAAAUUCAAAAAGCAAGGAGUUUCUUAAAGACCGAAUCUGAUCUUCAAAAACGAAAGAGGGGAGAUUAACAGCAAGAACAACAACAAUAACAGGAACGAUAUUUUUUCUCAAAAGAACCUAAUCAAGGACAACAACAACAUAAACAUGGCCAAGCAAUUCUUCAAAAAAACCUAAAACCAAAACGAAUACAGCAAGACAUCAACAAUACAACAUUAAAACAAACAGAAACCAAAUUGAAACGACGCUACCGGAAACGCAACCCCCAACCGCCGCCGUCACAACCGUCUCACCACCAUCAACCCUCACUAACCUCAAUCGCAACGGUAACAGAAACAAAGGAAAAGAGAAGAAGGAUUUGGCGAGCACCGUCGCGAAACACAAGAGGAAGGAGAUUGUAUUGACGUCGCGAUUUAACGUCAUCUAUCUUUGUUUAUACAACUGCGUGAUUCGAGCAAGCAAGGCGAUUAUCUGUGAAUCGGAGAGUGUGUCGUUGACGAGCGCCGGCGUGAAGGGAGCACAUCCGUAACGGAGGUGCUGGCUUGCGAUGAUGGUGAAUCAGGAUUACGUUAGCAUCUGAGAACGGCGAAGUGAUGAGGCGCGGUGAAGAUGCUGAGGCGAAGGUUAUUGAUUUUGACUGUUUUUUCAUAAUCGCUUUUUUCUUCUCCCUAUUUCAGCUUGUGUGGUGAAUGUUGAUGUUAACCUCUUUGAAGCAUUGGGCCUCAGGCCCAAAACAGGCUCUCUACA